UCAUAAGAGUGCGAGAUUAUGAUUGAAAGAAAAAUCGGCAAAUGCAGGUUGAUGGUUUUGCUGUGGGCCACAAAUCGUGUAAAAUAUUGUAACUAAAUAAUCAGUCCAGGGUGUGGAGAAGGCGAACCAUCCUGCCGAACACCACCAUGACUGAGUGAGAGAUGCCGCACCCAUUCCAUGAAACAACAUUGUUGCAUGCCAGCCUGGUUGCUGAAGCCACAGAAGUAUUUUCAAAGACAAGAACCAAUGCUGAUCAAAACGUGGUCUCGUGAUGGAAUUCAUUACCGGUUCUUGGCAAGGAUUUCAGAGAAAGGAAUAUCCUCUCUAAAUAAUGAUGUGCCAAUAAGCUCCAGUUACAUGAAGCUGCGGCUUUUCGCCCUUGGCAGUUAUAAGUCCUGCAAUCUGAAUCCUGAGGAGAUGAGGCUCUGAAUUCAAUAAUUCAAAAGAAUAAAGUUAGUCAACUCUG
Long non-coding RNA from Mya arenaria, 466 nucleotides. RefSeq lists it as uncharacterized. NCBI's taxonomy places the organism in Eukaryota, Metazoa, Mollusca, Bivalvia, Myida, Myidae. The record is from RefSeq and is a predicted model, not a curated record. The transcript has 3 exons.